Long non-coding RNA from Mastomys coucha (southern multimammate mouse), 887 nucleotides. RefSeq lists it as uncharacterized. The record is from RefSeq and is a predicted model, not a curated record. The transcript is spliced from 3 exons. Lineage: Eukaryota; Metazoa; Chordata; Mammalia; Rodentia; Muridae.
UGCCUCUAGUACCCUCUUAACUCCCCUCCCCUUGCCCUGAAUAAACUCUAUUCUAUACUAUUCCGUCUUGUGGUUGGUCCCUCAGAAGGAAGGGAUGCCUUGACAUGGGCCCACAGAGGCAUCCCCUUCCCCCAUAACUCACCACACCCCCAUAGAACAUAUUCUUAUAUCUCUACCUUUUUAUAAACAUAUUACCCAUCCUGUGAAUCUAGACAACAACUAACUCCAACUAGCAUUAAGAUUUCUGCUUCUAGGAAUUUGUCCUAAGGAAACAUUAGAGAUGAGAACAAGGACUGAUCCGAAAAAUGGGAACCAGAGCACAGCUGAUCUCUCUAAGAAGUCUGGAAACAAACAAAUACACAGCCAUUCAGGCUUUCUUUCGUGAACAGUGGUAAAACAUGCAGUCACUAAUGCGGCACUGUGAGAAGAACCUUAUGUCAAGUGUCAAAAAGCACGCUAAGGAAUCACAAGAUUGCGCUACAACUUUUGUGGUGAGUGAUUACCACCCACAUCCACUACUCUCUCCUCCUCUCACGGUCUGGCCACAGGAAUGGCUAAGCCUGAUCAUUCCACACAAAAGUUUAGUGUAUCUGGUUGUAUGCUGAGAUGUUUGAACCACUUGGACUUGAGUUUUCUGCAAGGAUCUAAGCAGAGAAAUCUCUGAUAGCCAAGAAGCACUUAAGUGUUCAACAUCCUUAUUCAUCGGGGAAAUGCAAACCAAAAUGAUGCUGACAUCAUUACAGCCAUCAGAAUGGCCAAAAUCAAAGACUCAAGUGACAGAACAUGCUGAUGAAGAUGUGGAGCAAGGGGAACUUUCCUCCAUUGCUGGUGGGACUGAAAACUUGUAUAACUACUUUGGAGAUCAACUUGGCGGUUCCUCAGAAAAU